GGUGCAGCUCAGUGGUGGAGCACUUGCCUAGAAUGGAGGCGGCCCUGGGUUCCAUCCCCAGCACCA
This 66-nucleotide transfer RNA is filed under the name Marmota monax (woodchuck). RNAcentral's name for it is "tRNA.Ser". The record is from RNAcentral. Lineage: Eukaryota; Metazoa; Chordata; Mammalia; Rodentia; Sciuridae.